Molecule: long non-coding RNA, 6708 nt
Organism: Condylura cristata (star-nosed mole)
Lineage: Eukaryota; Metazoa; Chordata; Mammalia; Eulipotyphla; Talpidae
Exons: 3
Source: RefSeq, a predicted model, not a curated record
CCUCCCCCCCUCCCGGGUCUGGUAGGGCGAAGGAGCGGGCGCGCGGUCGAUCGAGCGAUCGGUUGGCGGCUCUUUCUCCUGCUCUGGCAUCCAGCUCUUGGGGCGCAGGCCCGGCCGCCGCGGCGCGCGCCCGGUGGCCGUUGGCGCUCGCGCCGCGUCUUUCUUCUCGUACGCAGAACUCGGGCGGCGGCCUAUGCGUUUGCGAUUCGACGAGGAGUCGUCCGGGUGGUCGGCGGCGGCGGGCAGCUGCUCCGCCCCGCUCCCGGGGAGGCGGCGGCGGGAUUUGGCGCGGCCGGGGAGGCGGGGGUGGCCGCGGCCGGCCUGGAGGCCUGGCGCCACCCUUCGGGGCCUGCUAGGACCCAGUUGGGUCAAGAGGGAGCCGGGGGAUGGUUGGUGGUGGGCUUUCUGCUUUGCCUUUUUCUCCUCAUGCCGCCUUAGUGAGGGGCGGGAGCUCUGGCGGCAGCUCCGGGGUGGGGAGACAAGCCCCGGAGUCGGAAGAGCUGGGUUUGCUUCCGGGCCUAGCCACCAGCUGGCCGAGUGACCUUAAGCAAGUCACUCAGUAAUUUGUCUGCGCCUCAGUUUCCUCCUCUGCCUGUCGAUGUUUGUGGGAUUGAAAGCGCUUUGUAAACUGUAAAGCGCCGGUGUACGUGAGGGAUGGUAUUGUUUGUUUGUUUGUUUGAAGUUGCAAGAAAACCUGGCAGUUGCCCAUUCCUUGGUUUUGAACCAGGGAACCUUGGAGUUGGACAUCCUCAAACUCCCUGAAAUCAUAUGCAGAGAUUAGUGGGAAAAUGCAUCUUAGGGGGGUGAGGAUCCUACGCCAGCCAGUUUUCUCAAGGGGGCUGAAACCCAGAAAAGUUAAUCAGAAGUCUUUUAAGCCACAGGGAGGAAACUGAGGCCUAGAUGUCCUUUGGGACCCUUUACAACCAAUUUGACACCCCCCCCCCAUGUGAAUCCCUGAGAUAUGUGAGCUGUUUCUAUGCAUAAUGAAUAUUUUGGGUGACAACACUCCACUGCUUGGCUUCUAUUCUGAGUCCUUUGCUUUCACCAUGGGGUGCCUGAAGGUUGAUCAACCGUAUGGUAUAAUGGCGCCUGUUGAGGGGAAAAAAAGCAGCUAAAACUAGGAGUGGAUGUCUUCUCUAGUACCAAGAAACCAGUUUAAUCUUUGGCCUGACAACUGUUUGCUGCUGCUUAUACUGGUGCCUGAAGACCUUCUGACUUUCACUAUUUCCCACCACCAUCAUUGCCAUCCGUUACUUGCUCCUACUUUAUAACCCUCGCCUGGAUGGUUGGUAGUAAACAGGCUUAUUUUAUUUUAUUUUAUUUUAUUUUAUUUUAUUUUAUUUUAUUUUAAUGGUGCUGCCAAGUCCAGUUAGUUAAUGGUGCAGAUGACUUUUUAGCAAGCCAGCUCACUCAGACUUAACCAGUUGGGGAAUUCCUGAAGCUAAUUGGGGGGUUUGUCUGUAUUCAUUGAAGGUAAAAGUUCUCUGAAAAGUUUUGUUAGAACUGCUGAAUCUCAAAAUCAGUAGAUUUGAAAGUGUUAAAAACCUUGACUGUUUUCCUGGCCUGCCUUGUAUUCUAAUUGCUUGCAAAAGUGUUACUAAGAUGGCCAAAGUGCCACUUUUUGCUUCUUUGUUGUCACCUGCUUUUAUCAAAUUCUAGGCCAUCAUCCAGCAAACACUAACAAUGUUUGAACACUUGGAUUUCAAACAUUUGCAUUUUUGUGGAGUGGUGCUUACCAGUGGUACAGCUCUAAACAAGUGAACACAAACACAUUUAAGUGUAUUUCAUCUGGUUAGGUGAGCCAUUUCUGCUAUUUCAUACAAAAGUCUGAAAAAUCAAUUGACUGUUCCUUUUACCUAAAGGGCAGAGAUAAAAGACCUCACUUCCAGAGAAAUGACUGUUUGGAAGGAGUAUGCGUUGGUCAUUUAGCUCUUUUGUAAUUAAAUCUGGACGUACCUCAAAAGAAUCGAAAGACUGGUGAUAAGAUGCUUUCCUCAGGAGAAAGGAGGGGGGAAAAAAAACAACAACUGGAACUCAAAGCUUGAAAUUCUGUGAAAAACACAUGAGAUGUCCGGGAUAGGAGGUUUCUCUACAGUGUUCUACACUCCCUGAAGCAGAAAGUUCUCAAUGUAGCCAGAGGGUGGAUUCCAGAUUUUCAAGAACUGGACCUGGCGCCUGGAAGAAUUUAUCAGGAUGUGGCAGAAACUCUGGCACUGGAUAUUUUUAUUUCUGAAUUUGAACUGUCAUCUUUGCUUUGAGAAAAGAGACGACGACUGAGCAAGCACUGCCACCAACAAUGACUGUUACUGGGAAUUAGGAACCCCGAGUUUCUGCCACACCCUUGGUAUAAACGGGACAACAUUCCAUCCAAAGUGAACUACGUCCUGUGCCUCCUGAUUGCUGAGUGUUCACCUGGAUCUCCUGAUCACCUUCCUUGUGUUGUCCAUCAGUCUACAGAUCGGGUACCUGGAUUUUUGCCCUUGGUGAUUCCUGCCACCUUACUACUGAAGAAGACACCAUUCCAGUGGACCACUGUGACUAAAGAGGCUUUCUAGCCAUCAUGAUGUGGCCUUCACCUCGACUCCUGUCCUGUUCUACCCAUAUUCAGCACAGCCCAUUAUAGUGAAGUCAAACUCAAGCCAAAUAGUUGAAGCUGUUUUACCACAACAACGGCCCAGUUUGUUCCAUGAGUGUGCAUUUCAUUUUUAAGUUAAGUCUUCAGAGACACAUCAUAAAUUUGGACCAGGGGACUUUCAGUUGUCAACAGAAGAAUGGCAACAUCUUUUUGAAAGAAUUAUUGGACCAUACCCCACACUCAAAUGGUUGAAGUUCAUGAAGUAUCUUGGAUCCCACCGAGGUUACUGGACCAUGUUUUUCCAUUUCACAUCUAUAGUAGCCUACUGAAUGAGAAAGCAGAUAAUCUGACUAUUGGGAUUGAGACAAUGGCACAGUGAACUCGUAGCAUCUUCAUUGGGAUUACUCAGGAACCAGAACUUUUCACACGUGAGAAAUUCUACCAAGGAAUCCCUUUACCUAACAGCAUCUCACAAAACUCCAAUCAGAUUCCAGAAAAGACCUUUUGAUAUAUCCAGGUGGAACCUAUAUGCAUUUGUGAACAACUUACUCUUAAAUCACUGGUUUUCCAAAGGCUCUGUGGCCAUGAAAAUGAAGCCCACUGAAUGAAAACCAUGUGGAUGCCCAGAGUAAAGUGAAGCUGCUCUGGAUGACGCAGGAGUGGGGGGCCUGAAACCAUCAUAAGCAUCUAUCUUUCUUUACCACCGUGGUGAGACCUCAGGAGACUUCCUUACAACAUUACAAUUCUUCAGAGAACAGUUUGAAAACUACUGCCCUUGCAAACAAGAUGUUUGACGUUCUGAUCUGUACCUUUCCCUAACGAGGUGAACAUUUUUAAGAAUACUUACUGUGUAUAAAUUCAGAAAAUUGCAAGAAAGUCAUCAUAUUUUGCCCUCCCAAGUCACUACAUGGACUGAAGGUGAUGUCAGGUGGACACAGAUUAACAGCUUUCUACAUGCAGAUGGACUUCCAGUGACUCCUGGGGUUGGAUACACCCAGAGAGCAGUUCAUACACUGACAGCUGCCCCAAGCCAAUUUCCUUCAUAUACUACAGAUAACUGUCAUGGUACUUGAAAUACAGGACUUUGAAGUCUUGAUCCUCCUUGGUACCUGAAUCACCAGGUGGUGAAGCUAAUGCCUCAUUGAGGCCAUGUUAGAUCAACUUGAACAUUGGACUGCUCAUCCUCAGCUAUGGUACUGUACUUAUGUACAAGGGAUAACCAUUAUGAAAGAAUUCAAAAUACCUGCAACAUUACUUAAAAGAGUACCUGGUUAUCAUCUGUUUCUCAAAAUAUGUCACUAUGAUUCAGCCAAUGGCAGUUGCACUGCUCCUUGGUUUUUAUUCAGUUUAGCUGCUGAUUCCAAGUAAAUGAGCUAAUGACCUUUUAUUAAAAAAAAAUCUUCAUCACUGACAUAAUCUGCCUAUUCUGCUUCAAAAUUAUACAUACUCAGCUCUACACAUAACACUGGAUCCAGAAAAGACGAUCUUGAACAUCCAUUCUUGUGUAUGUGACUUAAAAUAUGGCAAUUAGAAAUUUUUCGUCUAGCCCAUCAGAAGAUGUCUUUUUAAGGUGGAUCUUCUAGUGUCUGGUACCACCAACUAUAGGGGUUAAGAAUAUUUGGAAGUAGACCCUUUGACCAGGCCAUCAUAUGUCUUCUUUGCUGAACAUCUCAAAUUGCAUUAAUAUUUACCUUUUGCUGGAAAUGAACACUGACUUGAAAAAAAUCUACAAAGCCUGCAGUUACGGAUUUUAUCAGACUUAAGAGCUUCAUACUGCUGCUUCCUAAUGUCACAUGAUCACAGCCCUUUGUUCGUGCAGAUGUUUUCUUGCCAUUUCAUCUGUCUCAAAACAUACUGAUUCAGAGCAGCUGGCUUCAUUCCUUGCCGUAAGAUACUUUCAGGCAUUAAGACAACUUAUCUGUUAGUAAAGGAAGGAUUUGAUUUCCGAGACCAGAUCAUAUUAAACAAGUAAACAUUGAUUCAUGUCAUGAGAAAAUCACAUUCCUUCACAGUUCACUUCAGGGCCAAUUGUCCUCAACAAGUAUAAUGCACUGGUUAAAUGUUAGGAACAGUUUCUUUUUGUCUCAUUCUUUAAAUGAAUCGUGAUUACAUGACUCAGUCUACAAAUCAUCAAACACUGUCCACCCUCAACAAAUGAAAACAAAAUCUGGAUAACUAGUCUCUUUAAUAUAUACAACUAUUUUUCAAGAAAUAAUCUACAGACUUUCUCUGCUACCUUCAAAUAGCAGCUCAAUGUUUUCUCUCCUGUAACUUUACAGAAAAACUAAUCUACACUACCAUUCUCUUUAAUCCUGUCAAAAUGAGGGGCUUAUGGUGAGGAUGAUCAUCUGUUAGCCUAAUAUAUUCUAUAUGGAGAAUUGAUGGUUUGAUUAAAAAAUGCCUACAACUCAAACCUGACAUCUGACCUACAAUCUCCAUGCCGCUGAACUCAUCUAAGUAUCUCAGCAUUGUUCAGCCAAUCUGAGACCCUACAGUGAUGAUUCUCAGAUGAGCUGAGUUACAGAAGAUGAAGACUUGAUAACCAAAGAAAGUAGGGCUAACCUUGAUGAACCUGGCUUUCCCAACCCAAUGGCUCCCAGGUAUAGCAUAGGCUUCUAAACACAACCUCAGUUCAGUACUGAAGAUAUAGUAACAGACUUCUAAAUUCAAAGUUUUAGGGCAGAGCAGGAAGUUGAAAGCUACUGCACUUGAUUGACCCGUUAAAAUCAGAAUAAACCCUAUGGAUUAUCCCUGGAUUAAUCAGGGUACAAACUUGUUUACAGAGCUUCGAUAUUAAUCUGCCUGUUCUUCCAGAUCAUAUCCUGAUUACUGGUAUGGCUGGCCCUGCUGAAGGAACCCUACUUGCCUCUCUACCUGACUCUGCUCUUGCCUGCCUUUUUCUUGACUUGCUGCUGCAAUCAGACUGACUUUGCCUUGAGAAGACUACAAUAUACUCAGUUCCACCAAGAACUUUUGAACAGCGACAGCCUUCAUUUCACCUCACCAGGACUUAAGGUUCACAACAGGAAGGAUCACGCUGUACAUUCCUUGACCAGCAGCAUACCCCUCCUCCUCUUUUAAGUGCAGAAUAAGCCUCUAUGCCUAUAUAUGUAUGUAUAUAUAUAUAUAUGUGUGUGUGUAUAUAUAUAUAUAUAUAUAUAUAUAAUUUUCAGCUCUGGAACUCUUGUCUACCAGAACUAAAGGAGUAUAGCAGAUCAAAAGCACUGUUCUUCUCUUGCAAUAAUAAUGAGUCUGAAAUGUACCACUUUGAUUUGACAAAGAUUUAAAGGAACACUAAGCAUUUUCCAUUGAACUUAAAUUUACCGCUGACAUGAAUAGCCUCACAGAACUACUUGCCAUUGGGAGGCUCUUGUCCUGCUUCACAUCAGCAAGAUAAUUGAGCUCUCAGACUCAUGACCACUAAGUUUACUUAUAUAAAACUAUUGUAACAUCCAAAGUAUACUACUGGACAUGAUUUUUCCAUUCAAAUGGAUUACAAACUUUCUGAGGACAGGAUAAACUUAGUCCUCAUAAUGUUUUUCCAAAAACUAUUGUCAAGGAAGUAAUACCAGCUGUUACCAUUCAUCUUUAUGAGCAAAGAUUAAACCAUUUUUUAAUAUCUGGUCUCUUUGGCAUCAAUUUUUGAUGUCUAACCUAUCUCUUUGUAACAACUUCCUGAUGUUUCUCAGAGCCACCUACUUAUUUUCAGGCUACAUUUUUCAGAUCAUCUGAACCCCAACCUUAGAAUUCAUGGAUGAGCAUGUAAUAAAACCUGAUCAGUCUGCAUAGUCCAUCUCCUUGACCAUCAUGACUGGUUCAGGAAUGGUCAUGUGAUUCAAAUUGGUCUAGUGACACUCAGCUGUGGAGUUUUACAGAACUGUGGAGGAGAUGUUCAGAGCUCUGUUUACUGAGGUUGUUUUGUAGGAUUAAAAAAACAAACACAACAGGGCCACCAUGGCAAACAAGCCAGUGAAAGAAUGAAGCCAGUGCAGAGGAAAGCAGAGCCAAAUGAUGGAGAGACUUGAGUCUUGAUGGCAAUGUUUGUGCCCCUGGAUCCAACCGUGCCUGAAGCUAAAUAUCCCCUGGACUUUUCAGUUAUGUGAACCAAUAAAUGCCCUUUUUUGCUUAAGUUA